This 250-nucleotide unclassified non-coding RNA is filed under the name plant metagenome. RNAcentral describes it as "partial contains small subunit ribosomal RNA, internal transcribed spacer 1, and 5.8S ribosomal RNA". The record is from RNAcentral.
GUAGGUGAACCUGCGGAAGGAUCAUUAGAACACUACAACAAUACAAACCAAACUUACUGUGCAUCUAUAAACUUUAAAGCAAGCUUGGGUCAAUCGUUGCUGCACAGAGAGCUCAUAAUGGGUGGUCCGAAGUUAAUUCUAUAUUUCUUCUGGCUCUUCCACUCGUUCUCUCGGGUGGAAGGGAGCUUUCUGUGCUUGGCUGGGUUGCCUCGUUCCCUUUGUGGUCGAGAGCAGCCAGACGACUGAUGCC